Molecule: transfer RNA, 100 nt
Filed under: Ustilaginoidea virens
Lineage: Eukaryota; Fungi; Ascomycota; Sordariomycetes; Hypocreales; Clavicipitaceae
Rfam family: tRNA
About the family: Transfer RNA (tRNA) molecules are approximately 80 nucleotides in length. Their secondary structure includes four short double-helical elements and three loops (D, anti-codon, and T loops).
Source: Rfam by way of RNAcentral
GGGCGAAUGGUUUAGUGGUAUAAUACUCCCUUAGCAUGGUUCAGGCAACUGAAUACGUACCGUUUGGGAGUGGUCCGGGGUUCGAUUCCCCGUUUGUCCA